GAUGAACGCUAGCUACAGGCUUAACACAUGCAAGUCGAGGGGAAACGCCAUCGAAAGCUUGCUUUUGAUGGGCGUCGACCGGCGCACGGGUGAGUAACGCGUAUCCAACCUGCCCAUCACUUGGGAAUAACCUUGCGAAAGUAAGACUAAUACCCAAUGAUAUCCCACGAAGGCAUCGGAAUGGGAUUAAAGAUUUAUCGGUGAUGGAUGGGGAUGCGUCUGAUUAGCUUGUUGGCGGGGUAACGGCCCACCAAGGCAACGAUCAGUAGGGGUUCUGAGAGGAAGGUCCCCCACAUUGGAACUGAGACACGGGCCAAACUCCUACGGGAGGCAGCAGUGAGGAAUAUUGGUCAAUGGGCGAGAGCCUGAACCAGCCAAGUAGCGUGCAGGAAGACGGCCCUAUGGGUUGUAAACUGCUUUUAUAAGGGAAUAAAGUGGGUCACGUGUGACUUUUUGCAUGUACCUUAUGAAUAAGGACCGGCUAAUUCCGUG
This 492-nucleotide ribosomal RNA is filed under the name uncultured bacterium. Its description in RNAcentral is "partial 16S ribosomal RNA". It matches the Rfam family "Bacterial small subunit ribosomal RNA", at positions 28 to 507 of the family's 1533-position model. The record is from RNAcentral.